GUCAGGAGUUCGAGACCAGCCUGGUCAACAUGGCAAAACCUUGUCUCCACUAAAAAUACAAAAAUUAGCCAAGCGUGGUGGCAGACGCCUGUAAUCCCAGCCACUAGGGAGGCUGAGGCAGGAGAAUCACUUGAACCCAGGAGGUGGACGUUGCAGUGAGCUAAGAUCGCACCACUGCACUCCAGCCUGGGCAAUAAGAGUGAAACUUCAUCUCAAAAAAAAAAAAAAAAAAAAAGUCCGGGCACAUUGGCUCACACCUGUAACCCCAGCACUUUGGGAGGCCAAGGCGGGUGGAAUCACCUGAGGUUGGGAGUUCGAGACCAGCCUGACCAACAUGGAGAAAUCCCAUCUCUACUAAAAAUAUAAAAAAUUAGCCGGGCAUAGUGGCGCAUGCCUGUAAUUCCAGCUACUGGGGAGGCCAAAGCAGGAGAAUCGCUUGAACCCGGGAGGUGGAGGUUGCGGUCAGCCGAGAUCGUGCCAUUGCACUCCAGCCUAGGCAACAAAAGUGAAACUCCAUCUCAAAAAUAAUAAUAAUAAAUAAUACAUCUUGGGGACAAUUGGGGAAUAUGGAACACAGAUCAUGUUUUAGGAAACACUGAUCUGUGGACUAAAUGUUGUCCCCCGAAAAUCCGUAUGUUGAAGCCCUAACCCCCAGUGUGACUGUAUUUGGAAUAAGGAAGUUAAUUAAGGUUAAAUGAGGUUAUGGAGUAGGGCCCUAAUCCAAUAGGAUUCCUUAUAAAAAGAAACACCAUUGUUUCCUGUUAUUUCAGUGUUAAAAUAAAAAGAGGUCAGGCGCGGUGGCUCACACCUGUAAUCCCAGCACUUUGGGAGGCUGAGGCAAGCAGAUCACUUGAGGUCAGGACUUUGAGAUCAGCCUGGCCGACAUGGUGAAACCCCAUCUCUACUAAAAUACAAAAAUUAACCUGGCGUGGUGGUGCAUGCCUGUAAUGCCAGCUACUCGGGAGGCUGAGGCAGGAGAAUCGCUUGAACUUGGGAGGCGGAAGUUGCAGUGAGCUAUCAUGCCAUUGCACUCCAGCCUGGGCAACAGAGAGAGACUCCUUCUCAAAAAAAAAAAAAAAAAAAAAAAAGGCUGGGCGCGGUGGCUCACGCCUGUAAUCCCAAGACUUUGGGAGGCCAAGGCGGGCGGAUCAUGAGGUCAGGAGAUCAAGACCAUCCUGGCUAACACGGUGAAACCCUGUCUCUACUAAAAAUACAAAAAACUAGCCAGGCAUGGUGGCAGGCGCCUGUAGUCCCAGCUACUCGGGAGGCUGAGGCAGAAGAAUGGCAUGAACCUGGGAGGCGGAGCUUGCAGUGAGCCAAGAUCGCUCCACUGCACUCCAGCCUGAGUCACAGAGUGAGACUCCAUGUCAAAAAAAAAAAAGGCCUGGCAUGGUGGCUCACGCCUGUAAUCUCAGCACUUUGGGAGGCUGAGGUGGGUGGAUCACCUGAGAUCAGGAGUUUGAGACCAGCCUGGCCAACGAGACGAAACCCCGUCUCUACCAAAAAUACAAAAAUUAUCCGGGCCUGGUGGCAUUCGCCUGUAGUCCCAGAUACUCAGGCGGCUGAGGCAGGAGAAUUGUUUGAACCUGGGAGGUGGAGGUUGCAGUGAUCUGAGAUCACGCCACUGCACUCCAGCCUGGGAGACAGAGCGAAACUCCAUCUCAAAAAGAAAAAAAAAGAAAGAAAGAAAAGAAGAAACACCAGAGAGCUUGCUUUCUCUCUUCAUCCCCAAGUGAGGACACAGCAAGAAGGCAGCCAUCUGCAAGCCAGGAAUAGAGACCUCGCCAGAAACUAAACAGGCUAGGCCCUUGAUCUUGGACUUCUGACCUCCAGAACUGCAAGAAAUAAAUUUCUCAAUCUCUGUCAGUCAGUCUAGAGUAUACCAUAAUAGUCUCCCAGUCUAUGUACCGUCACAUACACAUGACAUUUCAGUCAACCACAGACCAAAUAUUCGACAGUGGUCUCAUAAGAUUAUAAUACUGUAUUUUUACUGCACCUUUUCCAUCUAUAGAUAUGUUUAGAUACACAAAUGCCUACCUUUGUAUUACAUUUGCCUACAGUAUUCAUUACAGUAACAUUCCGUACAGGUUUGUAGCCUAGGAGCAAUAGGUUACAUCAUAUACCUUAGGAGUGUAGUAGUCUAUCCCAUGUAGGUUUGUGUAAGUGCAACAUGUCCUCAAAUCACAUCAUUUUGUUUAACAUCCUUUUGUUAUAGUGUUGAUGAGAACCCGGGCGUGGUGGCUCACGUCUGUAAUCCCAAGCACUUUGGGAGGCCAAGGUGGGCAGAUCACCUAAGGUCACGAGUUCAAGAACAGCCUGGCCAACAUGGUGAAAUCCACUCUCUACUAAAAAUACAAAACUUAGCCAGGCGUGGUGGCAUGUACUGGUAAUCACAGCUACUUGGGAGGCUGAGACAAGAGAAUCGCUUUAACCUGGAAGGCAGAGGUUGCAGUGAGCUGAGACCACACCCCUGCACUCCAGCCUUGGUGAUAGAGUGAGACUCUGUCUCAAAAAAUAAUAGUAAUAUUAAUAAUAAUGUUGAUGAGAAAAUCAAUUCCCAGCAGGGAGCCAAUAUCUGUGUGGAGUUUGCAUGUUCUCCCCAGGUCUGUGUGGGUUUUCUCCAGGUAAUCUGGUUUCUUCCCACAUCCCAAAGACAUGUGUAUUAGGUUCAUUGGUGUGUCUAAAUGGUCCCGGUCUGAGUGAAUGUGAAUAUGUGUGCUCUGCCAUGGAAUGGCAUCUUGUCCAGGGUUGGCUUCUGCCUUGUGCCCUGAGCUGCUGCGAUAGGCUCCGGCCACUCACAAACCUCAACUGGAAUAAGCGGGUAAAUAAUUACCUUACUUGUUUUUUAUUCAUGUUUCUUAAGCAUAUAUAUAGUUCACAUUUAUUUCAAUAUUUAAUAUUAGAAAUGUUUUGGAUCUUUAUUUAGAAGUUUGGUGCUGUUUUGUGGCAAGAAAUAAGCAAUAAGAACUUAGCUCUUGUUUAUAUCAAUUAGCCUAUGGCAAAAUUGGUUUUAUGAUACAUUGUUUUGUUUAAAGAUGAAGUUUCCGGGCCAGGCCAACAUGGUAAACAGCCUGGCCAACAUGGUGAAACCCUGUCUCUACUAAAAAUACAAAACUUAGCCAGGUAUGGUGGCGCACACCUGUAGUCCCAGCUACUUGGGAGACUGAGGUGAGAGGAUCACUUGAAUGCGGGAGGUAGGGGUUGCAGUGAGCUGAGGUCCCACCACUGCACUCCAGCCUGGGUGACAGAGCAAGACUCGGUCUCAAAAACAAACAAACAACAAGGAAAAACAGAAAAUUAGUGGCCGGGCGAGGUGGCUCACACCUGUAAUCCCUGCACUUUGAGAGGCUGAGGCAGGUAGAUCACCUGAGAUCAGGAGUUUGAGACCAGCCUGGCCAACAUGAUGAAACCCCAUCUCUAGUAAAAAUACAAAAAAUUAGCUGCAUGUGGUGGUGCGCGCCUGUAAUCCCAGCUACUCAGGAGGCUAAGGAGAGAGAAUCACUUGAACCCCGGAGGUGGAGGUUGUAGUGAGCCAAGAUCGUGCCACUGCAUUCCAGCCUGGGCAACAAGAGCGAAACUCCAUCUCAAAAAAAAAAAAAAAAAGAAAAGAAAAGGAAAGAAAAGAAAAAAAGAAAAUUACUAUAAAAUGCUUCUGUUUUACAAAUGUUAGGCCUUUUGUAUACAUCACUUCCCACCCUUAAAACAACCCUGUAAGAUUGGUUUCAUAAUCCCUAUGUUUAUGCAAGAAGAAAUCAAGGCUCACAAAGCUAAAGACGCCUGCCCAGACACACACACACACACACGCGCACGCGCAAAUGGGGAGCCAAGAUUCAAACAGAAGGUUCUCUAGUCCGAAAACCUGCUCACCUGUGCAGUAAAAGAAUAUAAACCUGAGCCUCCAACCCCAAGGUGCCUGCCCACCCAAAACAAACCCUGCCAGACUGUCCCUGAGAGGCUCAGGAGAAGGAAACGCUAAAAGAUGGCAAGGAGCAAAGUCCCCUUGGGCUGGAAGGCUCUGGAGUAGCUGGUCAUCCUUGUUUUGCAGAACUGCUUACAAGCCAUCACUUCCACCUGAGGUUAGCCUUGUGAGAUAGCAAAUAUCACUGUCCCCCUCUGCCCGAGUCCAAGGUCACAUCACUGACUGGAUAAAAACCCAGGUCUCCCAGCUGCCAUCUGGUCUUCAUUCCAAAAUCCAGACAGAGUCUCUUAUGAGCUUGUGGCCACAGAUACAAAAGUAGAUGCUGAUGUGUGUCUCAUUUUAUUCAGGAAAGGUCUGGAGUGGCUUGAGCCAUACCCUGCUUCAGAACUGAACCCAAGUGGGAGUGAGGGCAGCAUGCAGCUAAAGGCACAAGUCUGGAAGUUUCAAAUCCCAGGAUUAACUGAAUAUGAGGGAAGAGAGUAGAUCACCAAUCCUCAGAAAAGGCAUUUAAGGGCCAAGCACGGUGGCAC
Molecule: long non-coding RNA, 4449 nt
Filed under: Homo sapiens (human)
Lineage: Eukaryota; Metazoa; Chordata; Mammalia; Primates; Hominidae
Description: HSALNT0276927
Source: RNAcentral